This 464-nucleotide ribosomal RNA is filed under the name Vreelandella stevensii. RNAcentral's name for it is "partial 16S ribosomal RNA". It matches the Rfam family "Bacterial small subunit ribosomal RNA", at positions 338 to 795 of the family's 1533-position model. Lineage: Bacteria; Pseudomonadati; Pseudomonadota; Gammaproteobacteria; Oceanospirillales; Halomonadaceae. The record is from RNAcentral.
CCUACGGGUGGCAGCAGUGGGGAAUAUUGGACAAUGGGCGAAAGCCUGAUCCAGCCAUGCCGCGUGUGUGAAGAAGGCCUUCGGGUUGUAAAGCACUUUCAGUGGGGAAGAAAGCCUUGGGGCUAAUACCCUCGAGGAAGGACUUCACCCACAGAAGAAGCACCGGCUAACUCCGUGCCAGCAGCCGCGGUAAUACGGAGGGUGCGAGCGUUAAUCGGAAUUACUGGGCGUAAAGCGCGCGUAGGCGGUCUGAUAAGCCGGUUGUGAAAGCCCCGGGCUCAACCUGGGAACGGCAUCCGGAACUGUCAGGCUAGAGUGCAGGAGAGGAAGGUAGAAUUCCCGGUGUAGCGGUGAAAUGCGUAGAGAUCGGGAGGAAUACCAGUGGCGAAGGCGGCCUUCUGGACUGACACUGACGCUGAGGUGCGAAAGCGUGGGUAGCAAACAGGAUUAAUACCCUAGUAGUC